This 256-nucleotide ribosomal RNA is filed under the name uncultured bacterium. RNAcentral describes it as "partial 16S ribosomal RNA". It matches the Rfam family "Bacterial small subunit ribosomal RNA", at positions 524 to 776 of the family's 1533-position model. The record is from RNAcentral.
UACGGGGGGAGCAAGCGUUGUUCGGAUUUACUGGGCGUAAAGGGCGCGUAGGCGGUCAGCACAAGUCAGUUGUGAAAUCUCCGGGCUUAACUCGGAAAGGUCAACUGAUACUGUGCGACUAGAGUGCGGGAAGGGGCAACUGGAAUUCUCGGUGUAGCGGUGAAAUGCGUAGAUAUCGAGAGGAACACCUGCGGCGAAGGCGGGUUGCUGGGCCGACACUGACGCUGAUGCGCGAAAGCCAGGGGAGGCGAACGGG